CUGAGAAUUCCAUUAAGCACCUCAUUCAGGAAGACUACAAGAUUACAAUAGACACAGGAAUCCCAGUGUAUCAUUUAGCUAUUCAUGUGUAACAAAUGAUCCUAAAUUCCAUGGAUUGAAACAAUAAUGACUUCUUAUUUCUUCCCCUUUGCAGGUUAGGAAUUGCACAGCAAGAUGGCUUUCCCAACUCCACCAUGGCUAGAGCCUCCUCUGCAGGGGCUGAAGCCCAUUGACCUUGGCUUCAUUUGGAUACAUUUCAAGGGUGAACCACACAUUCCUUGGAAACUGAUAAAUGUCUACAACAGCUUCUGGUACCCAGUGUCUCAGUCACUUUACAAAGAUCAUGGAUGUACCUUCCAGUUUGCUUCGGGUUUGCAGCCACCACUCAGGAGACCCUGCAUUCCCUACUUGUCCCCCUUGCCAGCAAACAUCAGAGAGGAGCAGGCUGGAGCCAGAAGUAGCAGGCACUGGGCCUCAGCAGCUGACUGGCCAGCUUCCUGCCUCUGUCACUGGGAUAACCUCCUGAAAAACACAGAUUUUGGAACUUGAAAGUGAAGAGUGAUGAGUCCAUGCCUUUUGAUCUGCAUUGAAGUUUAUCCUGAGGAUCCUAAAUGGUGGAAGAAUACCUCUCAAGAGAUGGAAAGAUUCUAAGAGCCAGAGGGAAUGGAUGACUCCAAGGAACAGGACUGAUGAUCACAUGAACUCUCAGAGGCUAUAACAGCUUCUACCAGGCCUGUAUAGGUUCAAGCCGGAUGGGUUUCCAGCACUGAGAGGAGAAUUGGACAUGGGCUUCUACUCCAUACUAAGAAGCUCUCUGCAACUGAUGUUGACUUGCAAAGGAAAAUAGUUUUCUCCAAUGAAGUAUCACUGGGUAUAUUAGCCAUAUUUCAAGGUAGGCCACCUUCCAGUAGUAAUUGGCCAACAAGUUUAAUAGUAUUUAUUUAUAUAUUGUAUUUUUUGUAGAG
This 965-nucleotide long non-coding RNA is filed under the name Rattus norvegicus (Norway rat). Its description in RNAcentral is "long non-coding RNA NONRATT033003". Lineage: Eukaryota; Metazoa; Chordata; Mammalia; Rodentia; Muridae. The record is from RNAcentral.